Magnolia sinica is the source of this 430-nucleotide long non-coding RNA. RefSeq lists it as uncharacterized. Lineage: Eukaryota; Viridiplantae; Streptophyta; Magnoliopsida; Magnoliales; Magnoliaceae. The record is from RefSeq and is a predicted model, not a curated record. The transcript has 2 exons.
UUUGAUUUAUUCUCAGUGAUCUAUCCCAACUGAUUCUGCUGUUUCUUAUUUUCACGUUGAGACUUAGUUUGAGCACUAUUGCAUGUGCAUUUGAAUGAGGAUGAUGCUGUGAGGAGGAAUCAUAGAAUGUUCAAUUUGCGGAUCUAAUGCAAAUUGAUCAAGGAAGAAGCUAAUUGCUAUAAGAUUCAACUGACUGGAUUGAAAGUCCCAUAUUCCUUUGGUCUUAUGCUAGAGAUCAUCCCUUCCCCUCCUUCAACUCACUACUGUAGAGAAACAGGAGAACUUACUCAAAGAUUUCCUCUUUGCCUUCGUUAUGAUGAGUGCUUACAAGAUUUCCUCUUUGAGAUAAUCUGUAACAUACUACUCUUAAGGAAUCUAAAAUUAGGGUCCCUUGCUAGCCAAGAUCUCCAAAAUAAGAAAACCCUUAAAA